UUUAAUUUUAGCUAUACUUUCUCUCUUUGAAUAUACUCUAAAAGUUCUGAGUUGGAAGAACCAUGUUCAGGUGUGGGUACUCCCCUUCCCCUGUCCAGAUGUUUGAUUUCAGGGAAGCCAAGUGCUUAAGCAUCAGCUAAUUAGUCUUCCCUUUCUUUUACUCACCUUUUCUUCUUCAUUCCUUUUUUUUUUCAUCUCUCCCUCUUUCUUCUCAUUCCCUAUCUGCUUAGAAGAUAAAAAUCUAAUUAAAUAUUGUAUACACAACCUGGGAUGGGGGAGUGAGGACCUCCCUAAAUCUACUCCUUCACAAAAGUAACAAAAACACUACAAAAAUUUGUCAAAAUCAAGUUCUUCAGAGGCCAAAGGCUUGCAAUGUUUUGAAAAGUUUUCAUAUUCAAGAAGAAAAAAGUUGAACCUUGGCAAUAACAAUGGGCUGUUUGCCUUUUCACUUGUCGUAUUCCCAUCUCUUCUCCAAUUCUAUAACAACUUUGAAAAUCAGCAGCCUUAGCCAUUGAAGGGGAAAGAACAAUUUUGGACACCAAAUGUAGUUCCCUUAAUGUACAGAGCACCUUUGUGUGCAUUUGUCCUCUAUGGCAUCACAAAGAACCAGAGUUUUGCAGUAGUUGUGGUAACAAAUCUAACACUCUAGCAGGAGACAGGCUGAGUAGAAAGCCUCUCUACUACAAAUUUGAAAAACAUUCUUAAACAAUUUAAAGAUGUCCACAAACACAUUUUGGGGACAAAAAUCAUAAAAGGCUUUCUCAAAGAGUGAAAAUCUUAGGCAAGGUGAUGAUCAUGCAGUUGUUAACUGUUUCUCUGAAGUGAUAAUUGAUCACAGCUGGCACCUGGGAACGGCAGCCUCCUAGUAUAUAGAGAACACCUGAAACUGAUCAGCAGCUUCCCCAUAAUGCCUUGGGAGUGAGAAGUACGGCACCGUCCCAGAAGUAGGCCAGUGUAUAAAAAGCCAUGUUAAGAGGUCAAAGCAGAGCACUUGGUCCUAUUUCAGUCGAAUUAUUUCUUCUGACUGGGCAAGCAUUGAAAUUGCCGAAGACCUGUCUGGAUACACCAUCAGUUAAUCAAGGAACAAACAUGGGUGUAUAACUCCUCUGCAAAGUGGGACUGCAUUCAUGUUACCUGACUUCUUGGAAGCAUCAUCUCCUCCU
This 1163-nucleotide long non-coding RNA is filed under the name Callithrix jacchus (white-tufted-ear marmoset). Its description in RNAcentral is "lncRNA (ENSCJAG00000070024.1)". The record is from RNAcentral. Lineage: Eukaryota; Metazoa; Chordata; Mammalia; Primates; Cebidae.